Molecule: ribosomal RNA, 323 nt
Filed under: uncultured eukaryote
Lineage: Eukaryota
Description: partial 18S ribosomal RNA
Rfam family: Eukaryotic small subunit ribosomal RNA
Source: RNAcentral
CCCUUAGAUGUUCUGGGCUGCACGCGUGCUACACUGAUAUUGCCAAUAUGUCAUUCUUAUCCGAAAUGGAUUGGGUAAUCAAGUAAUGAAAUUUCAUGCUUGGAAUCGGUAAUUGCAAUUUUAUCGUGAACGAGGAAUUCCUAGUAAGCACUAGUCAUCAGCUAAUGUUGAUUAUGUCCCUGCCCUUUGUACACACCGCCCGUCGCUACUACUGAUUGGGUGUUCAAGUGAGAUGCUUAGACCCUUGUUGCAUGGUUCAUUAUUGUGCUCCGAAAGGAAAAAGUUUCAAGCUUGAGUGUCUAGAGGAAGUAAAACUCGUAACA